UGGGGAAUAUUGGACAAUGGGGGCAACCCUGAUCCAGCAAUGCCGCGUGUGUGAAGAAGGUCUUCGGAUUGUAAAGCACUUUCGACGGGGACGAUGAUGACGGUACCCGUAGAAGAAGCCCCGGCUAACUUCGUGCCAGCAGCCGCGGUAAUACGAAGGGGGCUAGCGUUGCUCGGAAUGACUGGGCGUAAAGGGCGUGUAGGCGGUUUACACAGUCAGAUGUGAAAUCCCCGGGCUUAACCUGGGAGCUGCAUUUGAUACGUGUAGACUAGAGUGUGAGAGAGGGUUGUGGAAUUCCCAGUGUAGAGGUGAAAUUCGUAGAUAUUGGGAAGAACACCGGUGGCGAAGGCGGCAACCUGGCUCAUGACUGACGCUGAGGCGCGAAAGCGUGGGGAGCAAACAGGAUUAGAUACCCUGGUAGUCCACGCUGUAAACGAUGUGUGCUAGAUGUUGGGUAACUUUGUUAUUCAGUGUCGCAGUUAACGCGUUAAAGCACACCGCCUGGGGAGUACGGCCGCAAGGUUGAAAC
Molecule: ribosomal RNA, 529 nt
Filed under: uncultured bacterium
Lineage: Bacteria
Description: partial 16S ribosomal RNA
Rfam family: Bacterial small subunit ribosomal RNA
Source: RNAcentral